CUAUUCUGAUAUCAGACUCAUUGCCAACUGUUGCUUCUGGAUGUGUCACAACAGAAACCAGAUCUGCAGGUCUGAAGGGCAAGUCUGUAGAUCUGCAUUGCUGAAGGAAGCUUCAUCAGAUCCGCAGAAGAACUCAGAUGUAUCUGGUUUAAUCAACGCGCGUCGGGAGAGGAGAUGCCAGCUCGUAUAGCAGCUCUACGGGCCUCAGGGGCUGGAAAGUGCUGAUGAACCCUGUUGUCCGGAGAGGUGCUGGCCUGACGGGAUGAUGGGACGGAGGAAUAAAGCGAGAGCAGUGUGGUGUUCUCAUCUCUUCAGAUCUCAGCACAAAGGCAGUAUGACAGAGAUGAAUCCCUCCCUCUCCCGGACCCUCGCCCCCCCGAACUCCAGGCCCGCUGCUGGGGACGCCUUUGUUCACU
Carassius auratus (goldfish) is the source of this 416-nucleotide long non-coding RNA. RefSeq lists it as uncharacterized. The record is from RefSeq and is a predicted model, not a curated record. The transcript has 3 exons. NCBI's taxonomy places the organism in Eukaryota, Metazoa, Chordata, Actinopteri, Cypriniformes, Cyprinidae.